GUCAGCGGUCACAGCAGGGGUGGCACGCCCGGAACCGUUCCGAACCCGGAAGCUAAGCCCCCGAGCGCCGAUGGUACUGCGGGGUCAGCCCGUGGGAGAGCAGGACGCCGCUGACC
This 116-nucleotide ribosomal RNA is filed under the name Coriobacterium glomerans. RNAcentral also lists the same sequence under 1 other name. Lineage: Bacteria; Bacillati; Actinomycetota; Coriobacteriia; Coriobacteriales; Coriobacteriaceae. The record is from RNAcentral.